GUCGACUUCAGCUACGCUAUUCUUGUAGCUGAAGUUGAGUAUCUUAGGUCCGAUUCCCCCCCCCCCCCCGCCCUUCCCCCCUCCAGUGUAGACCAGGCCUAAGUGGAUCACCACCAAGAGUGAGUUGACAGUUCAUUCUCUUGGUACAUUCCAUUUUUGGUCUGUCUGCUGAGCCUGCUAACAAGGAUGUCAGUGAUUUCAGUGAUGUAGACGCUUGUCUGCUGGAAACUAUACUAGAGUACCACUCAUUCAUUUUAUAAAAAGCUGCCAAGUAGCCAUCAUAUGAAACCACCUACACAGGAUCUUUUGUAUAUCAUGACAGUGAAUAAGUAUCUCAGUGUAAUCUUCAGCAUGAAAGAUACAAUCUAAUAAAAGUAUUCUGGUGCAACUGAAUUACUUUCUCUUGGAUUUAACAUAGAAGAUCUUUCUAUGGAAAAGAUGUUUCACAUACUUGGACACCUGCCAUGGGUGACAUCUUUAUCCAUAUCAUUCUAAGAUCACUUAAUAGUCGUGGGGAGAGACAGACAGAGAGAUAUAGUAAUAGCUCAAUACCUACAUUGAGGUAGGUACAUCCUAAGAAGGGCUUCAAAACAUCUCUGUUCUGAUUUAAAAGUACUAAAACAGUAAGACUGCAGUUGUCCUGUUACCAUUAUGUCUUGUGUGCCUGUGAGAUUGGCUAAUGUGCAUGGGGUGAGCACCCAGUCACAUCAGCCCAUUGGUUUUGAAAGAAACGCUUGAGUAUGAUACUCUGCUUUGCUAAAAACAGGGUAUAUUAUACCAUCUGUGUGAUUACUGAGAUGUACAGUGGGCUGUCCUGGUUCAGUAGCUGAGCCCCUCUGGCACCUCUGGGAAUGUCUCUUUAAGACUUGCUGAAUUUGUUUAUUUGUACAAAAGAGCUUGACCUAGAAAACAUACAAUUUUAAAGGCAGAAAGCAUCCUCCUUCCUUUCCCUCUAUGCUUAUAAAAAACAUUUCCUUUCCACAGUUCCCAUCUGAACACUUUUAAAUUACAUUUUUAUUAAAAUUGAUUUGUUAACGCAUUCCAUGACCGUUUCCUACAAAAAAUAUAAUCUGAAGUGUCUUUUAUGCUGUAAAAUGAUGCUUCCCUUCCUCAUC
RNAcentral lists this long non-coding RNA (1115 nucleotides) under Chrysemys picta bellii (western painted turtle). RNAcentral's name for it is "lncRNA (ENSCPBG00000002957.1)". Lineage: Eukaryota; Metazoa; Chordata; Testudines; Emydidae. The record is from RNAcentral.